This is a long non-coding RNA of Cyprinus carpio (common carp), 1371 nucleotides long. Lineage: Eukaryota; Metazoa; Chordata; Actinopteri; Cypriniformes; Cyprinidae. The record is from Ensembl.
AUGCCGUGUGUGAACAGUUACUUUAUCUUCUGGAUUUUAGGACUGCUUAUUUUUGAUGUUCAAUUUAUACAUGGUUUGAAUGCAUGUCGGAAAGAUCAAAUCAGCAAUGUCAGUUUAACUACUGCGCUUCAGUCUGAAGUCAUGCUGCCCUGUUUCUUUGAAUCAGACUUCUUGAAUUCAAACCAGACAAAUGAAUCUUGCGUGGUGUGGACUCACCUCAGUUCAACAAACAAUGAAAUUGUGGAGAUCAGUCUGGAUGGUGAGGCUAAAUUCUGGAAUAACCGACAUGGACGGAUUAAGACAUUCCCAAAAUUAGUAGAGUCUGAACUUCUGGACUUCUCCAUCAAGAUCCGUAAUGUGCAGCAGUCUGAUUUAGGUGUUUACCACUGCUCACUGUUCAGAGAGACUAGCUGUCUCCUAGCCUAUAAGAGGAUUGAACUACAAAACGAACCAGCUGUUGUUUCAGUGGAUUCUCUGACUUGGCUGAUCCCAACUGGAGUGGCAGGAGGAGCAGCACUGCUAGUAGUGCUACUUGUGCUUCUUGUUGUUGCAUGUAAAUUCUUCAAACGUAAGUACCAUUUUAGAAUUUCAUGUAAACAGCUCUUCUUUGAAAUCUUUAACACUAUAUAUUGAUGUUAAUAAUUUGUAAAUAUACAUACAUAAUUAUUGACACAGAAAUUUAACCGAUAUAAAGAUUUAUGGCAUGACGUAUUAUUAACUUGUUUUUUUAUGCUGCUUUCAACUGCUUUCUGAAUCAUUUAACUAUGGAGUUACAGGUCAAGAAAAUAACAUCACUGAGCCUGUCUAUGGUAGGUUUUCAGCUCAUUAUAACUAUAAUUUAGUUUGAAAGCUCUACAAUUUGACUUAAUUGUACACUAAACUUUGUAGUCAAAUAUGUUUCUAUUAAAUUUGUGCAGAGAACACCUCAAGUAAAGUUCACUAACAGAGCAAAGUUCACUAAUGAAAACGGUAAGUAUGAUCUUACAUUUGUGACUAUAGAUGAAAUCAUAUUAGGAGUGCGCAUUGUCACAUGUCCUUCUUGUGUAAUUUCACUAUGAAAAAUAUGUAGAUUUUUGUUGAUAACUUAGAAACUAACUUUGAUGAAAACAUAUUAGUUUGUACUUAUAUAAAGGGGAAAUUGUAUCAUCUAUCAAACUGAUUAAUGUUAUUUAGUGAUUUUUUUUACGCAUUUAGGCUAUUUGUUUAACAGUCAGAAGAAGGGGAAGUUAAAAUAUAAGAUAAAAGAAGUUUUAUUAAAGCUUUCUUUUUCUUUUUUUUCUAUAGGAGUGUCACUCAGCAAUCCAACCUAUAGUUAAAAUUCACAACUGCAAUAAUGUGGAACAUCAAUAAAUAUGUGGAAUUCAUUAUACA